RNAcentral lists this unclassified non-coding RNA (163 nucleotides) under uncultured Ascomycota. RNAcentral describes it as "sequence contains ITS2". Lineage: Eukaryota; Fungi; Ascomycota. The record is from RNAcentral. RNAcentral also lists the same sequence under 1 other name.
UCAACCAUCAAGCCUGGCUUGUUAUUGGACCCUUUGCGACUGAAAUAUGUUGCAGGUCCGAAAAAUAAUGACAGUGUCAUGUUUGACCCUAGAUGCAACGAGCUUUUUAAUAGCACGCAUUGAAGUGGUUGACUGACCUGGUCUUUAACCAUCAUUUUUCUAA